RNAcentral lists this ribosomal RNA (211 nucleotides) under uncultured bacterium. RNAcentral describes it as "partial 16S ribosomal RNA". It matches the Rfam family "Bacterial small subunit ribosomal RNA", at positions 143 to 354 of the family's 1533-position model. The record is from RNAcentral.
ACAACAGUCAGAAAUGACUGCUAAUACCGCAUAAGCACACAAUGCUGCAUGGCAUGGUGNGAAAAGAUUUAUCGGCAUACGAUGGCCCCGCGUCUGAUUAGCCAGUUGGCAGGGUAAUGGCCUACCAAAGCAACGAUCAGUAGCCGGCUUGAGAGAGUGACCGGCCACAUUGGGACUGAGACACGGCCCAGACUCCUACGGGAGGCAGCAG